RNAcentral lists this ribosomal RNA (253 nucleotides) under uncultured bacterium. RNAcentral's name for it is "partial 16S ribosomal RNA". It matches the Rfam family "Bacterial small subunit ribosomal RNA", at positions 524 to 776 of the family's 1533-position model. The record is from RNAcentral.
UACGUAGGGGGCUAGCGUUGUCCGGAAUCAUUGGGCGUAAAGCGCGUGUAGGCGGCCCGGUAAGUCCGCUGUGAAAGUCCAGGGCUCAACCCUGGGAUGCCGGUGGAUACUGUCGGGCUCGAGUCCGGAAGAGGCGAGUGGAAUUCCUAGUGUAGAGGUGAAAUUCGUAGAUAUUAGGAAGAACACCGGUGGCGAAGGCGGCCCACUGGUCCGGUACUGACGCUGAGGUGCGAAAGCGUGGGGAGCAAACAGG